CAAAGGAUAGUUUAAUUAAAAUAAUAAUUUUGGGGAUUAUUGAUAGGGUAGGUACUUUUCCUUUGA
Molecule: transfer RNA, 66 nt
Filed under: Neochauliodes punctatolosus
Lineage: Eukaryota; Metazoa; Arthropoda; Insecta; Megaloptera; Corydalidae
Description: tRNA-Pro
Source: RNAcentral